GGAAAGCGGGAACGCAGGAGAGCCAGCAAAGUUGAUCAGGCAAAGGUACCGCGAGGCAGCGGACAUCAUCAAGAAGGGGAAAAUGUGUUGCCUCUUCAUCAAUGAUCUUGAUGCAGGAGCGGGAAGGAUGGGUGGCACAACUCAGUACACUGUCAACAAUCAGAUGGUGAAUGCCACUCUAAUGAACAUUGCUGACAACCCGACCAACGUUCAGCUUCCAGGAAUGUACAACAAGCAGGAGAAUCCCCGUGUGCCGAUCAUAGUCACAGGAAAUGAUUUCUCCACUCUAUACGCCCCUCUGAUCCGUGAUGGUCGUAUGGAGAAA
This 325-nucleotide unclassified non-coding RNA is filed under the name Hevea brasiliensis (rubber tree). The record is from RNAcentral. Lineage: Eukaryota; Viridiplantae; Streptophyta; Magnoliopsida; Malpighiales; Euphorbiaceae.